UUAAAAACUUGAACCCGAACCCGACUACCAAAUCCGAAACCCAAACUCGAUGGAUUUAAAAAUCCAUAUUCAACCCGAACCCAACCAAAAAUCUAAAACCUGAACCCGAACCCGAAAACCCAAACCCGAAUCCGAAACAAACCCAAAUCCGACCAAAACCCGAAACCCGAUUCUAAACCCGAAAAUCCAAACCCGAAAAUAAUAUUUACCAAAUUUCGAAACAUAUUAUACAAGAAACUAAAAUUUCAAAAUACAUAUUCAAAUACAAUAUUAAACAUUCAUGCUAUAUAAUAGCGAUAUCCAAAUAUGAAAUGUACAAACUCAAAUAAUUAAAAACAACAAUACAAUUUUCAUAUGUCUAAUAUAAAUGCACAAUUUCUAAAUAGAGCACAACAACCUACAAGAACUAAAAGACUAAACUUAAAAAAUAAAGAAAAAAAGACAUAUAUGAAGAAUCAAAAAAACCCACAUCAAAGAAGCAACUUUAAUUUUCAUUUUUUUAAAAAAAAAUCCUCACCUUUUUUUCUCUUAGGUUUGAGGUUGUGGUUCUUGGAGAAAGCAAUAAGCCAAAAUACCUUCUUGGAGAAGAAUGAUCAAGAGACUACAAAAGUCUACAACGGCUUCUGUAGUUCUCUUUCAAAGUUUUAACUAUUAGGGUUUGGAGAUGGAGAGGGUUUCGGAAAAAGGAAGGUUUUGAAGUAGUUCUCUUUUGAGGUUUUAACUAUUAAGGUUUGGAGAUGGAGAGGGCUUGGAAAAUGAGAAGUUUUUGAUUUUUGUAUAUUAGGGUUUGGGUUAUAAAAAUAUAUGUAUUUUGGUUUAGAUUAUAAAAGUGUAAGUAAUUUUUUGGCCUUUAGAUUUAGAUCUAAUGGUUUGAAUUUUUUUAUAUAUUAUAUCAUAUUAAAUUUGUUCGGGUUUGGGUCGGGUUUGGGUCCGGGUCAGGUUCAGGUUUGGGUUCGGGUUCAGGUUUUUU
Molecule: long non-coding RNA, 970 nt
Filed under: Ananas comosus (pineapple)
Lineage: Eukaryota; Viridiplantae; Streptophyta; Magnoliopsida; Poales; Bromeliaceae
Description: long non-coding RNA (ACOM_LNC003091)
Source: RNAcentral